Molecule: long non-coding RNA, 894 nt
Organism: Cyanistes caeruleus (blue tit)
Lineage: Eukaryota; Metazoa; Chordata; Aves; Passeriformes; Paridae
Source: RefSeq, a predicted model, not a curated record
AUGGAAAGGAACUUGCCUUUCAGAAAAGACUUCAUAUGCAUUCAGGUGGUCACUGGACAUGUCACCAGGGCUGGCUGCUCAAAUGCUGAUGCAGUGCACGUGGGAUUCAUCUGCCUUUAGCUUCUGACAUUGGCAAAGGUUCUGUGUGAAGAUGUUGCAUGUUGACUGAAGAAGUUGUGUUCGCUUCUGCUGGCUGUUGAAGAGAUGGGUAGUUGGUGAAGCAAUAUAUAAGUUUUCCUGGCAUAUAUGUUUGGAAGAAGAUGUUAAAAAACUGUAGAUGUGGGUAAGGGGCUUCACAACUCCAUAAUUCAAAUCCAUGAUUUUCAAUUGUAUACUCACUAUUGGUACAGGAGCUGUUGUGAGCUCCUGUCUGGACUGGAUAAAAGACCCCAGUGUUGAUUAGACUGUGAUGAAACACAAAACACAGACUAUUCUUGACAGAGAGCUAAGUACUUCUUAUUUCAAUGACAUGUAAAAUUAAUUAUGGGAUCUUUUUUUCACUCACAAUAAAGUGAACAGAACAGGAUGCUUCCUACAAACCCUUUGCUUAUGACUAUCCAGUCAAUAUUUAAACUUCAAGUUCAUACAGAAUUUCUCUGCUAACAUAGGAGUGCACUGAAGUAUGCAGUUUAGUCCCUUAUUGUACAGUGGCUGGGUGAUUUCCCCUGCUUUUAUUUUCCUGCAAUUUGGUGUACUUCUGACAAACCACAAAGAAAUGCAAAUACAUAAUUUUCAUAUUUCUAGAUAAGAAAUAACUAAAAAACAGUAUCAUAAAACCUUGGAAGUCUGUGUCUUCUCAGCUUAAAAAACAUUUGCGGAGACAUCAAGCAAAUAAUAGUGUUCUGUUAUGAUUCGAAAUAUGAACACAUAGAAAUUACACAGAAAAAAUGUGGC